AGCGAACGCUGGCGGUAGGCCUAACACAUGCAAGUCGAACGAACCUUUCGGGGUUAGUGGCGGACGGGUGAGUAACACGUGGGAACGUGCCUUUGGUUCGGGAUUACUUAGGGGAACUUGUUCUUAUACCGAAUGUGGCCCUCGGGGGAAAGAUUAAUCGCCUUUAGAGCGGCCCGCGUCUGAUUAGCUAGUUGGUUGAGGUAAUGGCUCACCAAGGCGACGAUCAGUAGCUGGUCUGAGAGGAUGAUCAGCCACAUUGGGACUGAGACACGGCCCAAACUCCUACGGGAGGCAGCAGUGGGGAAUCUUGCGCAAUGGCGAAAGCCUGACGCAGCCAUGCCGCGUGAAUGAUGAAGGUCUUAGGAUUGUAAAAUUCUUUCACCGGGGACGAUAAUGACGGUACCCGGAGAAGAAGCCCCGGCUAACUUCGUG
RNAcentral lists this ribosomal RNA (432 nucleotides) under uncultured bacterium. Its description in RNAcentral is "partial 16S ribosomal RNA". It matches the Rfam family "Bacterial small subunit ribosomal RNA", at positions 29 to 507 of the family's 1533-position model. The record is from RNAcentral.